AUGUAACAAGAGUUCUGAAAAACAGAUGGAAAUGGACCUAACAGGUGUUAACUGAUUUCAACUCACCAUGCUGAAAAACAGCACAGAUCCAAGUUCAGAUCCUGCCUUCGCGUCCUCAUCAGCCACGUGGGACGACAGCUGUCCACUUCCGCAGGGCCGUUGUGAGGACGAAGGGUGACACAGCACAGAGGGUGUUGGAGAUACUCAGUGAAUAUUUGCCUAGCCUGUCCUCUGGCCUACACUUCCGCCGCGCAGCGUACUAAGUCCAGCACCACGGAGCAGGUGCUGAGGAAGAGAGAGGGGCGCAGGCCCGAGCAGCCGGCUCUGAGAGCACUGCCCAAGGCUCCCAGGCUGGCGUGAGAGCACCGUGUGACCUCCGCAGUGUCACGGAGGGAAGCGCGUGCACACCGUCAUCUUCCUGUGAACAUAGUAAUGAAACAGUGUGGUGCUUGCCGAGCCUCGACAGAGCGGGAGAGAACAGUGCCAGACGGGGUAGAAGGACUGGGUGCUGGCACUACCCAGCACUUCUUCCUGGCGCUACAUGGCUCUGAAGCAAUCUCUCUGCAGGCAGUAAUUGCACAGCUUAAUUCUUCUAGACUGAACCACUUCAGAUUUAUGCCAGCGAAAAGCAAACGUCGUUUAGCUUGGAUUUAAAUCACAAUAACACUGAGGGAAGAUGAAUGACAGUGCUAUUGAAUGUGGCUAAAAUUGGAUACUUCAGCACAGGGCUCUCUCUGGGUUCCCGAAGAGCCACUCUGGAGGACUGUGCGACUGAAGACCAGCCUUCUGCGGGACAAGGCAGCCCUGCCCCAGAGCGGGCAAUGUCCCGGCUGAAACACAGCCAGCUCUGCUCCUGUGUCCUCCACUGCCACAGCUCAGCUCGGGGCACGGCUUCUCUUUCCUCCUGUGGACCUCCCGGUUCCCACUCUUACCUUCUCG
Molecule: non-coding RNA, 939 nt
Organism: Oryctolagus cuniculus (rabbit)
Lineage: Eukaryota; Metazoa; Chordata; Mammalia; Lagomorpha; Leporidae
Source: RefSeq, a predicted model, not a curated record